RNAcentral lists this ribosomal RNA (253 nucleotides) under uncultured bacterium. RNAcentral describes it as "partial 16S ribosomal RNA". It matches the Rfam family "Bacterial small subunit ribosomal RNA", at positions 524 to 776 of the family's 1533-position model. The record is from RNAcentral.
UACAGGGGGUGCAAACGUUGCUCGGAAUUAUUGGGCGUAAAGCGCGCGUAGGCGGCUACUUAAGUCGGAUGUGAAAGCCCCUGGCUCAACUGAGGAACUGCCUUUGAAACUGUCUGGCUUGAGGCCGGGAGAGGGUAGCGGAAUUCCCAGUGUAGCGGUGAAAUGCGUAGAUAUUGGGAGGAACACCAGUGGCGAAGGCGGCUACCUGGACCGGUUCUGACGCUGAGGCGCGAAAGCGUGGGUAGCAAACAGG